Molecule: long non-coding RNA, 39445 nt
Filed under: Capsicum annuum
Lineage: Eukaryota; Viridiplantae; Streptophyta; Magnoliopsida; Solanales; Solanaceae
Description: long non-coding RNA (CANN_LNC016346)
Source: RNAcentral
AAUAGUCUAAUCUGAAAAGCCUCUAAUUGAACUGUCUGAAUGUAGAGUUGAUGGGACAAGUCCCCAACUAACUUUGACUACUGAACUAGCUAGAAUAAUAAUAUAAAUAACUCAAUCCUAGAAAUAUGAGGACUCACCACUAUACCUGCUGCUGAUAACCUGAGCUACUAGGUACGGUCAGGAGCCCAACGUCUGAACCUAUGAUAUGAGACAUCAUCACGCAAAAGAAAGAGUAUGCGUCAGUACUUUGAAUUUACUAGUAUGCUAAGUGAGGUAGGCUGAUAUACAUAGGUUCAUAAGCAUAAACAAUAACUGACUAAUGAUAUGUAUAUAACUGAAUGAGAGUACAUGGGUAACUAAAACUGCUGCAUAUACUGAUUAUGCAAGACUGUGUAUAUACAUGUAUACUAUAACUGAGAUCAUACUAAAACUGAACACUGAGUUUUGAUAACUGAGUAACUGAUAUUUGAGAUUACUGAUAAUGGUAUUACUGAUAACUAGGCAACUAUUUCAGAUAGUCCUGAUUCAGCAGAACUAAAAUAAGUUCUAUACUGAGUCUAAAACUGAAACUGUAACCAUGAGAGUAUUCAUCUAACCGGCAUACCCCGAUUAUAAACUGAGUUGGGUUCCAACCUGUGACCUCAGUAGGAAGGGUGUUAGAACCUUGCUAAGGGAUACUAAAAAUAUUGGGUCAACCCUAAUCUGGUAGGAAUACUCAUGAAUCAUAAAUACGAUUGCGACAACCCUAGUCUGGUAGGAGGAAUGCCCCCAUCCCUGGGUUCGCUCGUUGCUGAAUCCUACUCCUAACUGAACAUACACUGAUCACUAGAUUGUACUAAGCUUGACUGAUUUGGUACUGAUCAUGUUGACUGACUGAACUGAACCGAGUUCACUGAUUUUUGUUAUUAAGUAAGUACUACUAUUCCUGACUUUUUUACUUGGUCUAUUCUAUUGCUAUUGCAAAUAAGUAAAAAGCUAUAAUUUGGAUAAUAAAUAACCCCAGGACUCCAUAGCAUAAAGGUAAAACACAAUACUUCUUUAAAGAACAGCAAUAGUCAAUUUUUCACAAUUCAAUCACUGAGGCAAUUUGCCAAACACUUGAAGGACAUAAACUUAUACAUGAAUGAGAACACAUACUAAUAUGUCAUGAUUACAUUAUUCAAUUUACAUGGACAUUCUAUCAAACACUUUGGGAGCAUGAUUGUUACACAUAAUAAUGAAAAACACAUAAGCAUCAUGACUACAACUUAAACUUUCAAUUUCAAGGAUUAUAACAUGGGAAUUACAUCAACAACAUACAUGUUAUCUUAGGUUCAUGAAACUCAUAACAAAAUCUUGAAUUAAAUCCCAUACAACAACACAAACAUGGAUACAACCCAAAUUUGCAUAUGUAAAUUCAUGAAUCAAUAAAUUCAUAGUUUUAAAAAGGAUUCUUGAACUCCGAGGGUGGAAGAAAACCAAAGGAUAAACACUUGACAUACCUUGAUUAUUAAUUUUGAAGAGAUUAUGGUAAAUUAUUGAGACUUGAUUCUCGAUCUUGAUGAAACUCGAGCUUGUUCUUGAGAGGAUAAAGCGAAUAAUGAAUCCAAUUUUCCCUAUUUGAUGGUUAAUUUUAUGUUUUAGCUGAUUUGGGUGAGAGAAAAAGGACUAAACAUCCCCUAGGCCUCUUAUCCCAUGUAAAUGACCCUCGAGGCGCGAAUCCUAAAAAUAGGGAAUGGACCUCGCAUUUCAACUCCCAAAAAUGGGGAAUAGACCUCACAUCGUGACACCUAUAAAUAGGGAAUAAACCUCACAAUGCAACUCCCAGAAAUGGGGACUAGAUCUCACAUUGCGAGCUUAUCGCGUGACCUUAAUUUUUUAGACAUCCAAACCCACCCUUACGCUACUCUUAAAAUUCUAAAAUUCAGUCGAUAUGACCUAUUAACAUACCUGAUCAUGAAUCAACUAAAAAAUCAACAAUCCAAGGCCAGAAAUAUUGAAAAUAAAGUCAUUGAAACAUUGAUCCCAAAAAGAAACUAAGUGUCAAUACUUAGCUAAAUUUUUCUAAGUUUGGGACCUCUUUUCAUGAUAUAUAGGACUGAAUUAGACUAGGACUUUUAUGAGGUAUUACAAUAUCUCCCCCUUGGGAACAUUCAUCCUCGAAUAAGAUUGACUAAGCUGAGAAUACUACUAGACUAAACUUACAUACUGAACAUGCAGAACUGAAGCAUGAUUACCUAACAGAAACUACUAAUAAACUGAGUUUUCAUACUGAACCUACAUGACUGAAGCAUGGCUGAAUUUUGAAGACAUGACACAUGACUGAGCUAUUUCAUAAAGGUAUGCAUGAUUGAGAAUGCUAUGCAGCUGAGAAGAGGUGAGGAUAAUUGGUCUGCAUAUCUUCUUCUUAUUCCCAAGUAGCUCUCUCAACGAACUAAUUCUAACAAAUAACUUUUGACCAAAGGAACUUCUUUGUUCCUCGAUCUGUGAACCUAAUGUUCAACGAUUUCGACUGGAACUUUCUCAUAAGAAAGACUAUUCUAAACAUAUAUACCCUCUAUAGGGAAUACAAAUGCUAGGUCACCAAUGCAUUUUUUUAGUAAGGAGACAUGAAACAUUGGUUAUACUGAAGCUAUGUCUAAAGACAACUCAAUCUUGUAAGCUACUUCUCUGAAACGGCUGAGAAUUUUGUAAGGACCGACAUAUCGGGGACUGAGUUUCCCCUUCUUGGCAAAUCUCUUCAAUCCCAUCAUGGGAGAGAUUUUCAAAUACAUAAAAUUGCCAACAUUUAAUUUGAGAUCUUUUCUCCUCACAUAUCAAUAUGAUUUUUCUCGGCUCUGAGAUGUCUUGGGCCUUUCCCUAAUCAACUGAACUUUCUCUAAGGCAUCAAAUACUAGGUCAGGCCCUACUACUAUGGCCUCAGCUACUUCAAACCAACCAAUGGGAUAUCUACAUCUCCUCUCAUAAAGUACCUCAAACGUAUCCACCUAGAUACUGGAAUGAUAGUUGUUAUUAUACGCAAACUUAAUCAAAGGUAAGUGGAUAUCCCAAUACCAUUAAAGUCGAUACAUGUGCUCUCAACAUAUCUUUUAAAUUCUGAAUGGUCCACUCUAUUUGACCAUCUGUUUGAGGGUGAAAGGUCGUACUAAGGUAAACUUCUCAUAUUAGAUUAGCCAUGCAUCCCUAUCUGUCUUCCACUACUUAAACCAUGUAUGAGCCACAUCCUGUAAAUGAUAUGCAGCUAACUCAAAACUCUCACUAGUGGUUACCCACAUAAUAUCUGUGACCUUUUGCACCAUGUCAAGGAACUCUUAUGGGUCCUCUUCUAACUAAGACCCUGUAAAUAAUGGAGGGUUCAUUCGGGUGAAGUCUCAAAAUCUAGCUGCAGCAGUAUUAGCUACUGGGUUACCCUAAACAGCAGUUGGGCAUUCAUUCUAGGUUGCUACAGAAUGGGCUAGAGUGGUAAAAGUUGCUCUUAAUUCUGAAUGAGAAACAUGCUUAUCCAGAGGAUCUGCUUGAAUUAGUGGAGGGCUGGUUGGUUUCCAUUCAUUCUUACGUUAGUAUUUUUGGGAAGCAUAUUCUGUAAACAAAAGAGAAACUUGAAUUAGGUAGAGAGUUUAACUUGAGCUCACGCUCACUCACACGACAUAAAUACUCAAAAAAUGGAAACUUUUCCUAAAAUACCUCACAGCCUUUUGUCCAUAAGUGUGGCGCUCUACACACCCAUACACAAGACUCUAAUUGAUAUGGCUUUAAGAAUUCCUAGGAAUAUUUAGAACCUUAGGCUCUGAUACCAUACUUGUAACGCCUUGAGUCUGCACCCUGGACGUCACACGGUGCUUACAAUCCUGAAGGACCUCAAGUUAACCCAUGACUGGUACCUGUUGUGUGCACUAAAUAAUAAUAUUGAAAUAAUGUAGAAGUUAGGCUGAAAUUCCAUAAGAUUCAUAAUAUGAAUACUAAAAUAAAUACUAAAUACUAAUAGUAAUACUAAAAAAACUAAAUAUCUGUCUAAAAUUGUGUAGUCUGAAAAGCCUCUAAUUGAACUAUUUGAAUGUGCAGUUGAUGGGACAAGUCCCCAACUAACUUUGACUACUAAAAUAGAAAGAAUACUAGUAAAAAUAACUAUCCUAAAAAUAUGAGGACUCACCACUGUAUCUGCUACUGAUAACCUGAGCUGCUAGGUACGGUCCGGAUUUCAUACGUCUGAACCUAUGAUAUAAGACAUCAUAGCACAAAAGAAAGAGUAUGCAUUAGUACUUUAAAUUUACUGGUAUGCUAAGUGAGGUAGCCUUAUAUACAUGGGUUCAUAUGCAUGAACAAUACUAAAUGAUAUUUAUAUAACUGAAUGAGAGUACAUGGGUAACUAAAACUGCUGUACAUACUGAUUAUGCAAGACUGUGCAUAUAUAUAUAUACUAUAAUUGAGAUCAUACUGAAAUUGAAUACUGAGUUCUGAUAACUAAGUAAUUGAUAUUUGAGUUUACUAAUAACUGUAUUACUGAUAACUGGGUAACUAUUUAUAACAGUCCUCAUUUUGUAGAACUGAACUGAGUUCUAUACUGAGUCUGAAAUUGAAAUUAUAACUGUGGGAGUGUUUAUCUAACCGACAUACCCCAAUUAUAAACUGAGUUACAGUCCAUCCUGUGACUCAGUCAAACCUGUGACCCUAGUUGGAAGGGUGUUAGCACCUUGCCAAGGGAUACUAACAAUGCUGGGUCAACCCUAAUCUGGCAGGAAGACUCUUGAAUCAUAUAUACGAUUGCGUCAACCCUAGUCUGGUAGGAGGACAUCUUACCCUAUGCUUUCUAUAUAGUUUUGUAACGCAAAGACUGCUACAAAGGGUCAAACCCUCUGUUGGUAGGAAUGAGCGCAUCCCUGGGUUUGCUCAGUGCAGAAUCCUACUCCCAAUAGACACUAAUCACUAGAUUAUACUAAGCUUGACUGAACUGAUACUGAUCCUAUUGACUGACUGAACUGGACUGAGUUCACUGAUUUUUGUUAUUGACUGAGUACUACUGUCCUUGAAUUUUUUAUCGGGUCUAUUCUUUUUCUACUAUGACUAAGUAAACAACUUGAAUUUGGGUAAUAAAUACCCCCAAGACUCAAUAUCAUAAAGGUAAAACAUAGUACUUCUUUAAAUAACAGCAAUAGUCAAUUGUUCACAAUUAAAUCACUGAGGAAAUUUGCCAGUAAUACACCGUACUUCUACUUAGCUUAAAUUCAUCCCAAAGAUGUCAAAAACUUAUUUUAAAGAUGAAUCCACUUUUAUACAUCUGGUAUUUUUAAUAUUUUAACUUUAUAUCAUGUGGAAAAUUGAAUAAUCUUUCCAACAAUAUAAAAUUCUCCCAAAUUCGAUAACUGGGUAAGAAGUUAUGGAAAUUUAAAGUUUUAGUCGUAAAACACCGUCAUUUCAGCCAGUGGUGCGUUGUACCACAAGCUAAAAUGAUGCUUGUCCUUUUUCCAGUGAAUCUCUGCGAUGUCUCCAUAUCACGCCAAACUUCUAGGUCACAAACAAAGUGGUAAUGCAAUAGCUCUGCGUCGCGCCAUCCCUCAGUUUUCCCGUUGUCAAAUUCCAGUAUCGCACGGCAUCGCGCCAGGUGCCCAUUUCAAAAAAUUUUGACGAAAAUUAAAAGUUUCAUCCAGGGAUAAACAGUGUUUUCCCAAGGUUUUAACAUGUCUAGGUACGGGAUUUUAUCCCUAAAAAUGUUUUAAACUAUUAUUUUACUCACUUUUCUCCAAAUCAAGAACAUUGUCUCUUAAGAAAAACAAAACCCUAGCUCUUGAGAAUCAAGGUCAAUCUCAAGAAAUCCAUUCAAGAAAUCCAAGAACCUUCAAGGUUUCCUAUCUAAGGUAUGCAUAGUGUUCAUUCAUGGACUCCUUCCGUCCAUGAAGCACAAGAAUCUCUUUACAAAGUUCAAGUAUAUGGAUUUUUUAUGAAUUCCAUGUUGGGUUUGCUCUUGUUCAUGUUGAUAAUGACCAAUUGAAUUCUAAUCCAUGUUUGGUGAUAAAUUUUAAGUGGAAUUAAUUAUUAUAGGUGUAGAUUCAUGUGAACCCAUGAUUAAACCCUUGAAUGGUGAAAUUAGAACUGAAUCAUGAUGUUUACUUGUUGCAUAAUGUUGUCUACAUAUACUAUGCUCACUAUGUGUUUGAUUAAAUGCCUAUGUGAAGGAAAAUUGUCAUACUAGUAUGAUAAUAUGAAAUCCUCAUUCACAUACAAGUUCAUGCAUGCCAAGUGUUUGAUGAAAUGUCUUAGUCAUUGGAUUAUGGAUAUAUGUGUAGCCUUUUGUUGUGCUUUGGAAUUUAUACCAUGAAUUACUUUUAUGAUAUCGAGUCUUGGGGGUAUUUAAUACCCGACAAUUUAGCUAUGUGCCUAAAGCCAAGGUCAUGUUUCCACGAUACUCUCAGUCAAGUCAUGAUCCAUAGACUUUAGUCAAUCAUGUGACUCAGGAAAGCUCAAUAACUCAGUAAUCUCAGUUGUAUUCCAUCAGUCAAUGGAACUCAGUGAACUCAGUUCAGUUCAAUUAAUUAUGUUCAGUAUGUAUUCAAAUGGGAGUAGGAUUUAGCACCAAGUGAUCCCAAGGAUGAGGACACACACUAACAGAUGAGUGUGUGAUCCUUAGAAGCAAUCCUUGCAUUUCGAAACUAUGUAGCCAGCAUAGGUUGAGACAUCAACACUGACAGAUGAGGUUUGAUGAGGUGGAUAAAUUGUGUCAAAUAAGAGUCCCAUGGUUCCCUUUUGGGGACAUUGACAGAUGAGGGUCACUUACAGUUUGUCCUUACUAGUGGCACGGUAUUGACACCUUUCCAAUUGGGGUUACAUAUUAGACCCUAACACAGCUAUAAUAGCUUAUUAGAGGCAUGUUGGUUAGAUGACUACUUCCCACAGUCUCAGUCUCAGUAAUAGAACUCAGAUAGUUCUACAGAAUUCAAGAUUGUCAGAUACAGUCAACUUAGAACAGUACAAAACUCAGCUAGUUCCAUCAGAACCUAGACUAUUAGAUAUUGUCGCUCAGUAUCAGUUAUAGUAGUUAUAUAAUUAUCAGCAUCUCAUGUUGUUAGUACUCAAACUCAAUAAUCAUGUUAUCACAAAUUCAGUUACAGUCUCUUAUUCAUGCAUGUAUUCUCAGGUUAAUGUUAUAAAGUCAGUUAGUACAGUUCAUACAAAUGUACCCUUUACAUUCAACCUACCUCACAUGCAUACCAGUACAUUCAAUCGUACUGACGCAUUUGAGCUACGAUGUUUUAUACCAUAGGUUCAGAAUCACGAGCUCCAAAGCAUCAGUAGUAGCUAGAUUUAGCGGUGAGUCCUCAUCAUUCGAGGAUAAUAUUACUAGUUAUUUCAUUAAUUUAGUUUAGCUUUUAGUAGAUGGAGAUAGUUGGGGACAUGUCCCAUUAACUCCUUAGUCAGACAGUUAGAGGCUUUUCAGACUAUCAUGUUCAAACAGUUUAUUUCAGUUGUUUUGGGUAUUUCAUAUCCCAUCCAAUGUAAUGUUUUAUCAGUUAUGUUAUAGUUUUGAACCUUAUGGCCUUUCAACCUUUAUUUCUACAUUUAUACAGUAUAUUAUGCAGUGUUCAGGUACAAAUAUCAGUCAUGGGUUAGCUUGUGGUCUUCGGGGUCAUGAGCACUGUGUGGCAUUCCGAAUACCAGAUUCGGGAUCUUACAUUUCCAAAUACUUGAAGGCCAUAAACUUAUACAUGGAUGAGAAUAAAUACUAAUAUGUCAUGAUUACAUUAUUCAAUUCACAUGGACAUUCUAUCAAAUACUUAGGGAGCAUGAUUGUUAUACAUAAUAAUACACAACACAUAAGCAUUAUGACUACAACUUAAAACUUUCAAUUUCAAGGAUUUUAAUAUGGGAAUUACAUCAAUCAACAUACAUGCUAUCUUAGGUUCAUGAAACUCAUAAUAAAAUCUUGAAUUAAAUCCCAUGCAACAACACAAACAUGAAUACAACCCAAAUUUGCAUAUGUAAAUUCAUGAAUCAAUAAACUCAUAGUUUUAAAAAGGGUUCUUGAACUCCGAGGGUUAAAGAAAAUUUAUGGAUGACCACCUAACAUCCUUGAUUAUUACUUUAAUGGAGAUUGUGCUGAAUUCUUAAGACUUGAUUCUCGAAAUUGAUGAAACUAGGACUUUUUCUUGAGUGGAUUGAGUAAAUAAUUAAUGCAAUUUCCCUAUAUACCCUUUAUAGGGACAACAACUGCUAGGUCACCAAUGAAUUUCUUUAGCAAGGAGACGUGAAACACUGGGUGUACUGAAACUAUGUCUGAAGGAAACUCAAGCUCAUAAGCUACUUUUCUGAAAUGGAUGAGAAUUCUAUAAGGACCCACAUAUCAGGGACUGAGUUUCCCCUUCUUUCCAAAUCUCUUCACUCUCUUCAUGGGAGAGAUUUUCAAAUACACAAAAUUGACAACAUCUAAUUCGAGAUCCUUUCUCCUCACAUCUGCAUAUGAUUUCUCUCAGCUCUGAGCUAUCUUGAGUCUCUCCCUUGAUCAAUUGAACUUUCUCUAAGGUAUCAAAUACUAGGUUAGGCCCUACUACUACAGCCUUAGCUACUUCAAACCAACCAAUGAAAGAUCUAUAUCUCCUCUCAUAAAGUGCCUCAAAUGGAGCCAUCUGGAUAUUGGAAUGAUAAUUGUUAUUAAAUGCAAACUCAAUCAAAUAUAAGUGGUCAUCCCAACUACCAUUAAAGUCGAUGACACACACUCUCAACAUAUCUUCUAAAAUCUGAAUCGUCCUUUCUAUUUGACCAUAUGUCUAAAGGUGAAAGGCCGUGCUGAGGUGAACUUAGGUACCAAGACCCUUUUAGAAGGAUUUCCAAAAGUGAGAGUUGAACACCAUGCAAUCUAGCCAACUCUCUAACAUAGAUCUUGGCAAAUCCUCAGCUGAGUAAGAGGUAUGAACUGGCAAGAAAUGGGCUGAUUUGGUAAUUCUAUACACAAUGACCCAAAUCGAAUCAUGCUGACGACGAGUUUGAGGCAAAUCCAUCACAAAGUACAUGUUAACUUCCUUCCCUUUCUAAGUGGGAAUACUAAACUCUUGCAUAGACCCAGUAGGAUUCUAAUGCUUGAUCUUAACCUAUUGACAUAUUGAGCACUUAGCUUGAUUUUAACCUAUUGAAAUGUUGAGCACUUAGCUACAAACUUUGCAAUGACCCUCUUUAUCCCACUCCACCAAUAGACUUCCCACAAAUUACGGUAUAUCUUAGUGGCCACUGGUUGAAUCGAGUAAUGUACACCAUGCGCUUCUGCAAGAAUCCAUUGCCUCACGCCAUCCAUACAUGGAACACAUAGUCUACCCUGGCAAUGCAAUACACCAUCUCACCCUUGGGAGAAAACCUCUACUUUUGAUCUCUGAUUGACUCUUUUAGAUUAACUAAACUGGGAUCUCUUUCCUGCUUUGCUUUUACUUCAAAAAUCAAAGAUGAUUCCAAACUAUUCUACACCCAAACACUACCCUCAACUGAAUCAACCAAACGAACACCCAACUUGGCAAGCAAAUGAACUUCCUAAACUAACUUUUUCUUACCAUCUUCAACGUGAGCAAUACUACCCAUGGACAAUCUAUUGAGAGCAUCAGCCACUACAUUGGCCUUGCCAGGAUAAUAUAGAACACUCAUGUCAUAGUUUUUCAACAACUCUAACCACCUUUUCUGAUGCAAGUUCAAGUCUUUUUGAGAGAAUACAUACUAUAAACUUUUUCGGUCUGUGGACACAUCAACAUGUACCCCAUACAAAUAGUACCUUUAUAUCUUUAAGAAAAAUACUACAGCUGCUAGCUCAAGAUCAAAUUUACCCUUAUACAUUAAAACACACCCAAAACCAACUCUGGAAGCAUCACAAUACAAAUAAAUCAUUUUGAACCGUCAGGAAAAGUCAAAACUAGGGCUGUAGUAAGCCUAGUCUUCAACUCCUGAAAACGCUUCUCAUAAGAAUCUGACCACUGGAAUUUGAAUUUCUUCUUAGUUAAUCUAGAUAUAGGGGAUGCAAUAGAUGAAAAUUAUUCAACAAACCAUUGGUAAUAGCUACCCAAACCCAAGAAACUUUUGAUAUCUGAUGGAGAGAUGGGUCUGGGCCAGUUUCUCACUGCUUUAGUCUUUUGGGGAUCCACUCAAAUGCAAUCACUGGAAACUAUAUAACCAAGGAAAGCUAUUGACCUUAUCUAAAAUUUGCAUUUACUGAAUUUGGCAAACAACUAAUGGCCUCUGAGAGUCUAUAAUACUAUUCUAAGAUAGUUUUCAUGAUCAUUUUGUUGCGGGAGUAGAUAGGAAUGUCAUCAAUAAAGACUAUAAUGAACAUUUCCAAGUACUGCUUCAACACGCGGUUCAUCAAGUCCAUGAAAGAUGUUGGGGCAUUGGUAAGACCAAAUGACAUGACUAGGAAUUUAAAGUGACCAUACCGAGUUCUAAAAGUUGUUUUUAGAAUGUCACAUUCUCUGACUGUGAGUUAAUGAUAGCCUAAUUUGAGGUCUAUCAUAGAAAAGUAACUGGCACCCUAAAGUUGGUCAAAAAAGUCCUCAAUUCUGGGAAGAGGAUACCUAUUCUUGACUGUGACUUUGUUCAACUGACGGUAGUCUAUACACAUUUUAAGACAACCAUCUUUCUCUUGCACGAAUAAAGCAGGUGCACCCCACGGAGAAACACUGGGCCUCAUGAAUCCUUUAUCUAGGAGAUUCUUCAAUUUCUCCUUUAUUUAUUGAGCAUGGACCGUAAACCUAGCCAAGUCCAUCUCUUUAAUUAGCAUUGCGGUCCUACACUCCUUGACCACACUGUCAGAUACCCCAGACACAAACUUACUCAUCUUAGAUCUAUUAUCAACUAUCACAUGAGAAGUAUAUCUGGCUAACUGAGUAAACUUGAGAGAAUACUCCUUUACUUUCAUGUUGCCCUGCUUAAAGUUAAUGAAUUCUAACACCUUAGAUUCCCUCAACUCCAAUGGGAAGAACCGAUCUAGAAAGGCAGUAGCAAACUUCUCCUAUUUUAUAUGCCCUGCAUCUGUGGCCCUAUCUGUCUUCCACUGCUUAAACUAUAAAUAAGCCAUAUCCUGUAACUAAUAUGUAUUUAACUCAGCACUAUCACUAGUGGUUACCUCCAUAAUAUCUAUGCCCAUCUACACCAUGACAAGGAACACCUAUGGGUCCUCGUCAGACUUAGACCCUGUAAAUAAUGGAUAGUUCAUUCGGGUGAAGUCUUGAAUUCUAGAUGAGGUAGUAUUGGCUACUAGGUUAGCUUGAAUAGUAGCUGAGUGUUCAUUUUAGGCUACUACAAAAUGGUCUAGAGUGGUAAAAGCUUCUCCGAAUUCUACGUGAGAAAUAUACUCCUCCAGGGGAUCUGCCUGAAUGGGUGAAGGUGUUGGUUGGUUUCCAGUUCUUUUUCUGUUGAUCUUUUUGGGAGGUAUAUUCUAUAAAUAGAAAAGAAAUUUAAAUUAGGCAGAGAGUUUAACUUGAGCUCACGCUCACUCAUAGGACAUGAAUACUGAAAAAAGGGAAACUUUUCCUAAAAUGCCUCAUAGGCUCUUGUCUAUAAGUGUGGCGAGCUACACACCCAUGCACAAGACUCUACUUGACAUAGUAUUAAGAAUCCCUAAGAAUCUUUAGAACCUUAGGCUCUGAUAUUAGGUUUGUAUCAUCCCAUUUUUGCACCCUGGAUAUCACACGGUGCUUAUAAUCCCAAAGGACCACAAGCUAACCCAUAACUGGUACCUGCUAUGAGCACUGAAUAAUAAUACUGAAAUAAUAUAAAAUUAAGGCAGAAAUUCCAUAAGGUUCAUAAUUUGAAUACUGAAAUAAAUAUUGAAUACUGAUUGUAAUACUAAAAAACUAAAUAUUUGUCUGUAAUAGUCUAGUCUGAAAAGCCUCUAAUUGAACUAUCUAAAUGUUGAGUUGAUUGGACAAGUUCCCAACUAACUUCGAUGACUUAACUAGAUAGCAUAAUAAUAUAAAUAACCCUAUCAUAAAAAUACAAAGACUCACCACUGUAUCUUCCGCUGAUAACCUAAGUUGCUACGUACUAUCAGGAGUUUGUGCAUCUGAUUCUAUGAUAUGAGAUAUCAUAGCACAAAAAAAAGAGUAUACAUCAGUACUUUAAAUGUACUAGUAUGCUAAGUGAGGUAGGAUUAUAUACAUGGGUUCAUAUGUAUGAACAAUACUGACUAAAUGAUAUGUAUAUAGCUGAAUGAGAGUACAUGGGUAACAGAAACUGAGAUCUCAUUGAAAUUGAAUACUGAUUUCUGAUAACUGAGUAAUUGAUAUCUGAGUUUAUUGAUAACUAUAUUACUACUAACUAGGAAACUAUUUCUGACAGUCCUGAUUCUAUAGAAUUGAACUGAGUUCUAUACUGAGUCUGAAACUAAAACUAUAAAUAUUGAAGUAUUCAUCUAACAGACAUACCCUGAUUAUAAAUUGAGUUUGUGUCCAACCUGUGACCCGUUCCAACCUGUGACCCCAGUUGGAAGGGUGUUAACACCUUGCCAAUGGAUACUAACACUGCUGGGUCAACCCUAAUCUGGCAGGAAGAGUCAUGAAUCAUAUAUACUAUUGCAUCAAACCUAGUAAGGUAUAAGGAUGUCUUACCCUAUGUUGUCUAUGUAGUUAUGUAAUGUAGGGACUGCUACUAAGGGCCAAACCUUCUGCUGGUAAGAACCUAUCCCUGGGUUCGCUCGGUGUUGAAUCCUACUCUCAACUGAAUAGACACUGAUAAGCUUCACUAAACUAACACUGAUCGUGUUGACUAAUAGAACUGGACUGAGUUUACUAAUUUUUGUUACUGACUGAGUACUACUAUUCUUGACUUUUUUACUCGGUCUAUUCUAUGUCUACAGCGACUAAGAAAACAACUAGAAUUUGGGUAAUAAAUACCCCUAGGACUCAAUAGCAUAAAGUGAAAACAUAGCACUUCUUGAAAGCAUAGAAAUAGUCAAUUGUUCAUAAUUCAAUCACUGAAGUAAAUGAGAACACAUACUAACAUGUCAUGAUUAAAUUAUUCAAUUCACAUGGACAUCCUAUCAAACCCUUGGGGAGCAUGGUUGUUAUACAUAUUAAUGAAAAACACAUAAGCAUCAUGAAUACAACUUAAACUUUUAAUUUCAAGGAUUUUAACAUGGGAAUUACAUCAAUUAACAUACAUGCUAUCAUUGGUUCAUGAAACUCAUAACAAUAUUUUGAAUUGAAACCCAUACAAUAACACAAACAUGAAUACAACCCAAAUUUGCAUAUGUAAAUUCAUAAAUCAAUGAAGUCUUAGUUUUAAAAGGGUUCUUGAACUCUAAGGGUGGAAGGAAACCCAAGGAUGAACACCUAACAUACUUUGAUUAUUAAUUUUGUGGAGAUUGUGGUGUAUUCUUGAGACUUAAUUCUAGAAUAUGAUAAAACUAGGGCUUGUUCUUGAGAGUAUUGAGUUAAUAAUGAAUGCAAUUUGCCCUAUUUGGUGUUUAAUUUUAUGUUUAAGUUGCUUUAGGUAUGGGAAAAAGGACUAAACCUCCCCUAGGCCUCUUUUCCCGUGUAAAUCACCCUCAAGGCAUAACUCCCAGAAAUGGGGAAUGGACCUUGCAUUGCGACUCACAGAAAUGGGAAAUAGACCUCAUAUGGCGACACCCAAAAAUAGGGAAUAGACCUCGCAAUGCGACUUCCAGAAAAGUGGACUGGAUCUCGCGUCAUGAGCUUAUCGCGAGACCUUACUAUUUUGGACAUCCAAACUCACCCUUAUGCUAUUCCAAAAAUUUUUAAACCCACCCGAUAUGACCUAUUAACAUCCCUGAUCAUGAAUCAACUAAAAAAUCAACAAUCUAAGGCCGAAAAGAUCAUAAAUAAAUUCAUUGAAAUAUUAAGCCCCAGAAGAAACUAAGUUUCAAUACUUAGCUGAAUUUUUCCAAGUCUAGGACCUCUUUUCAUGCUAUAUGGGACUGAAUUAGACUAGGAAUUUUAUGAGGUCAUUCAUUAUCCUUGAUCCUGAAUGAUGGGAGCUUCCUUAUCCCUUUGAAAACAUUUUCUUGCAAUAUUGCCUCUAACUGUGUCUUUUAGUAGUUAUGGUAUUUUUUAUGGUAGUUAUGCACUAAAGCUAUUUACUCAAAAUCGUCCAUGCUUGUUACACCAAUUUCACCUCAUAUAGAUAGUUCUUCAAUCUCUCAGGGCAUUGUGUUACGUAGUUUUGGUGAGAUGGAAAGUAAAUUGAAGAUUAUUAUUUUAACAUAUUUCCAAAAUACUGCAUCUGUUCACAAAUCGACCCUUCGACAUGUGUAAAAGAAAGAAACCAUGCUUUUUUGAGGUGUUCUUUAGGGUUGGAUGCUUUUUUGGUUUAUAGAAUCAAUGCUCUCUGCCAUGAUAUGAUUUUAGUUUUUGUUGCUUUCUUUCAUUCUAUGCAUUCAGUUUUCUUUCUUUCUCUAUGGAGCAUCUUAGAGCAUUUUUUUGCUGUACCGCAUCUUACUUUUCCCUGUCUAGCAUCAUUUCUAAGGUCAAGGAUAAGAGUUGGCUUCUCUAAGCCAAACAUUGAUGAGAUUCUUCCUUAUAAUUACUCUUUUAAUAAGGACUUCUUUUGUGUAAAAGAGGCUCAAAAGAGGACGACUAGAUAGUGAGUGAGUUAUGUUCCCUUAUGAGAGAGUGAUUGGGCUACUGUUCUGAGAGAUUGUGGUUGGAUUGCUGAUGUAUUCCAAGUUGAAAUACCUCAUCCUUCUAAGAUCCUUACACUAUAUCGGCCUGGUCAGAGCUUUAUUUAUAUCUAUAUGUAAGGACUUGAUUUUAUGAAAAAAAUUAUAUGUUUUGAUAAUUUUACCCCUUCCCAUAGUUGUUAUGUGUUAUUUUUGGGGUUUGCGAUGGUUGGCAAGGUUAUUGAUCCAAUUCAGAACUAUUUAUGUGAAUAUCUAGUUUUUAGAGGUUAAAAUGGCUUCUAAUAAACUUUCGUCAAAAUUGUUGUUCUAUGUGUUAGAUGGCAUAAUAGACUGUGCCAACAAAUCUAGAAUAUUAGUUUUGGGUUGGUAUCAUAGUUGGUUUGAUUUUAUAACAUUUGGAUCUCAUUUUGACCCUUGAUUUGGAAAUUUGUAAAAUUGGGUCUUGGGGAUCAAUUUUGUGAAAACAACCUCAUUUUAAAAAUUUGAAGUUGCCAUUUAGUCUGGAAUAUUGAAUUUAGUCUAGUAGCAUAUUUCAGUUGCCUUCACGGGAUUAUGAAUGAAUCCUUAGGGGUAGAUCCAUAACUUUACAACUUAGCAAAGUUGUUGAUACAACUAUAUCUAGUGUGGCUGCUUUAGUGGCCAAAGGAUCGCUAAGUGGUAGCGACCUAAGCCAGUCCAAGAAACUAUCGCUAAAGUGGAUGCUUGACCACUUUAGCGGGUCACAUCUUUAGCGAUAGGGGACCUCUUUAUCGGCCUACCCUUUUGGGGUUGCACAGUUAAGCGGUCAACCCACCUCUUAAGAAAUGAUUUCCUUUGCGAUCAUAGUUGGGAGAGUAUAAAAAGUCCUUUUCUCAAUUUAUCUUCUAUUUUUGAGACUUUGAUCUUUGGGGUAAGAGGAUUUUAGAUGAUUUCUUCCAUUAUCGAUCUUGGAUAAGCUCCAAAUCACUAUUUCAAUUAUUUUACUUUGAUUUUCAUCAUUUAAAACUCAUUAAAUUAUGAUUUCAAAAGUAGAACUUGGGAAUUUUCACUCAAAAGACCUAAAAUGGUUUUUCUUCGAUUCAAACCCCAUUUUAAACCUAUUUUCACUUGAGUUUUCCCCUAUGAAUCUCUUUAAUUGUUGGUAAGGUUUCAUAAACAAAUAUUUUGGUUUCAUCCUUUCUUUUGCAAAACCAUUUUGGCAGUCCAUUUUGACCCUAACUAAAAAAUAGAUAAUAUGGGUGUCGUUGGAUUUCUUUUGACGCAUAGAUUCUUUAUUUUUAUAUUUUAGUUGAAUUUAAGGCCGUUUAAGUGGGAAAACUAUUCAUUAAAGAGCUUUAGGCUUGAAUUUCAUUGUCACAUGGUAGGUUACGGCUUAACUUUUUUUCAAACUGAGUUGGGUAGUUAAUAUAUAUAUGUAAGAGCAUGCUAUAGGUAUGGAAUCAAUCAUAAAAAUAAUUUUAUUACUAUUUUGAGCCCAUGUGGGGCCUUAUAUUAUUGUUGUUGGUGAUUUGAGAUGAUAUUUAUUAUGUGUUACUCGUGUGGGGCCUUAUCUAAUAUUAUUGGUAUCGUUAUGCAUCAGUUAUUUCCUUUAUGACAGAAAUACCAAGUUGGGGUUUAUGUGAUAUUAAUGAUGUCUUACAUGAGUAUUUAUUCUUAUGGUACAUUUCUUAUAUGAAAUAAUGAAUGGUUGAUAUAUUUAGUAGAUUAUGAGCUCAGAUGUACAUAUAUUGAAUGGAUUUUGGGAUCUUCAUACUGGUUUGAUUAUGAGCACUAUAUCCUAAUAUCACACAUACAUUCAUGAGAUAUCAUUACCAUUGUCAAAAUAAUGAUUUUGAUAGAAAUGAUAAAUUUUAAAAAACCUUCUGCCAUAGUCCACGAUUUGUUUGAUGAUUUGUUUUAAUUGCUCCAGGAUGCUACCUUGUAUUGAUGAUUUGUUUUAAUUAUGUCCUCUUUCUUGUAUUGAUGAUUUGUUUUAAUUGUGUCCUCUUUCUUGUAUUGAUGAUUUGUUUUAAUUUCUCCAGGAUACUUCAGUUCUUUAAAGAUUGAUUUAAGGUUUGGGUAUCACCAGUUUAGGAUUAGAGCUUUGGAUAUUCCAAAGACAGUUUUUGGACUCGAUAUAGUCAUUAUGAGUUCUUGUUCAUGUCCUUUGGGUUGAUCAAUGCCCUAGCCUCAUUCAUGGAGUUGAUGAACCGGGUGUUUUAACUGUAUCUCAACCUUUUUUUUACUAUAAUUAUAGAUGAUAUCUUGGUUUACUCCAUGAGUAAGGCUGACCAUGAGGAGCAUUUGUGAAUUUUGCUUAAAAUAUUAAGAUAUGAGAAGUUGUUUUCUAAGUUCUCUAAGUGUGAUUUUUGGCUGAAGUAUGUAUCUUUAUUAGAUCAUGUUUUGACCAAGGAUGGUAUCAUGGUCAAUCCGACCUAGGUUGCAGCAGUUCAUGAUUGGCUAGCACAACUUCUUCUAUCCAGAUUCAACAAUUUGUUGGAUUAGCAGGCUAUUAACGAUGCUUUGUUGAGGGUUUUUUGUAGUACCCCAAACUUUUCUUAAGUCUAAUUUCAUCUUUAAAAUGUUAAGGGGAUGACUUCCAAAGUGAGUAAUAUUUAAAUCAUGUAGAAUUUUCUUAAUUUCAACUUUUUAUCAUAUGGGAAAUUGAAUAAGCUUUUCAAUUAUAACAAACUCAUCCAAAUUCAACUCUCAGUGAAGAAAUUAGGGAAUUUUCAGUGAACAGUGUGUCAAUUGGUCUAUCAACGCUUCGCAGGGAAGAAUGAUUUCAUAAUUGUCAACUUUUAGUAGCUCACUGUAAUUGAACUACAUCACGGUGAGUAUGGUCAUGAUACGGCUACCGCAUUGUAGUGAAGGCCAAAUCGACGUUUGUCAAAUUCUAGUGGGUCAUCGUGAUUACCCCGCAUUGCAGUGAACCCCAAAUCAUAAAUUAUCCAUGCCCAGUAGGUGAUUGCAAUUCCACCGUGUCGCGGUAAGUAUCGUGGUGGACAAGUCACCGCGUCAUAGUAAGGCCUUAAUCGGCGUUCCAGUUAUGAAAUUUUAAUUCUAAGGGCAGUUUGGUCUUUUACCCAUAUCCCCAGGUCGUGAAAACAUACGAUUAAGGGCCUUAUUAAGCAAAAUAUGCUCAUUCUUCAUCAAUUUUCCUCAAUAGAAAAGCCUAAGCCCUAAAGUUCACCAUUCUUUCUCCAAAUUAGUUCAAGAAUCUAAGUUCCUAGUCAAAGAAUCUCAAGAAUCUUCAUUCAAGAGUGCAAAAAGAGUCUCAAAAGUAGGUUGUUCAUCUAAGUUCAUAAUCUAAGGUAUGUGGGGUUUGAACAAGGACAAAUCUUUCGUCCUUGUGCCCAAAAACUUGAAUUUUAUUAAAGAUUAUAUGAUUUGCAAGUUGGGGUUUUCACUCAAACCAUCUUGUUUUGAGUUUGGAAAUUUACAAGUGAUUUGAGUAUUGAAGUGCAUGUUAUCUCAUUUAAUUAUCCUUUGACUUGAAGAUUUAUAUUAUGAUUUUCACCUCCCUAUUGUGAAUUGAUAUUCUCAAAUGAUUUCAAGAUGAUUGUUGAGAACGAAGCAUCAUUAUAAAAUUCUGAACAUUUUAGUACAUAUGCUUUAAAUACCCAAGUAUGAGUUUUGACAUUGCAUGAAGAGUAUAUUAUUAGUAUGCUUUAACAAGCAAGUAUUCAGAUUUUAAAAAAAAUUGAUGUUUUGAUCCUAAGCUAAUAUAGGAAUCCACAUUAACAUACCGAUUAUGAUUUAAAUCAACAAGAAACAAAAUUGGUUUUGAUUACAAACCCUUGUGCUAAUUUAAGGUGGAUUUCCUAAAAGUUCUGAGCAAUAAGUAUAGGAGUAGUAUUUAUCACCGAGUUGGGUAUGAUACUAAGGUUUCAUGCCCCAGAACUAUGUGCUAUCGUAGGUUUCUGAUUUGCCAAUAGUGGUCUAUGAUAGUGAUUACUAAAGUUAAGGAUCUAUUCUGAUGGUAAGGGUAGAACAGAUCUCCCCAAUAUGGGCAAGACAUUGGACUCCAUGUCAGCUUACAUGGUUUAUGUUGGUAGAAGAAACUCCCAAGGUCCCCAAGGUUCCCAAGCCCAAAGUCUCCCAAGUUCCCAGAGUCCCAAGUCAAAGUCUUUAAGUUACAAAGAAGAGAAUGAUAGAAGAGUUUUUAGAAACUAACCUUAAUGGCUCACACAUUUAAUCAGAAAUUGCUUUACUUAAAGUCAUUGUUACAGACAAAUAGUUUUCAAUUCUUAGAAGAUAAAGGUGAGCUCUUUUCUACUUAGCUUACAUGAUUGCAAGAAGAACAGAAGAAUAGCUUUUAGAACUAAGAGUUAUGACUCAUGAUAAUUAUACAACAUGUUUUACUGUUUAUGAUAUAUGAUUUUGCAGCUUUUAGUUACUCAAGCUAGUGUGAGUCAUUCUAUCUUAGCAUGCAUUGUUUAUAUAAUUAUAUGUGCACUUACAUAGAUUGUCACUGCUUUACUUAUUCAUUCACCCUAUAUGCUCAGUAUAUCCUCAAAGUACUGAUCCACAUAUACGUCUAUGUGCUACAUUGUCUCAUAAUGUAGGUUCAUGUGCUCAGUCUCAGCGGCGUGAGUAAUUUUCAGCAUCUCCACCUAUACUUCCACAGUUGGUGAGUCCUCAUAGUUCAAGGACCUACUCCUUUAGAGUGUUUGAUUUAUCGCUUUCAGUUUAGUUCAAGUUAGUUGGGGGUCUGUCCCAAUGGCUCUCUAGUUCUUGAGUAGUAAAGGCUAGUCGGACUAGUUGAUGAUUUCAAGACUUUCAAUAUUUGUCAUUCAGAUAUUGUUUUUCAGUUAUUUUUGUUUAGACUUGUUAUGUCACGGUACUAUUAUUGGAGUAAUUUAUCUUGAAGUAAGCUCCAAAUUCAGUUACAGGCUCAAAGGGUUAGUUUGGGACUACUCGUAGCCUUAAGCACUGUGUGACGUCUUGGGAUGAGAUUUUGGGGUGUUACAUUUUUCAUCUAUUGUUUCUUCUUUGACCAAGUUGACACAAAAGAAAAUUUAUUUUUAGUGGUAUGAUGCUUGUGAGGUGAGCUUUCAACAUCUCACUCAAGGUUUAUUGAAUUCAGCUCCUAUUUUUUACUUUGCCCAAGGAAGUUAUGGGAUUUACCACCUUUUUUAUACUUUUGGUGUUGUUUAGGUGUCGUGAUGCAUCAGGGUAAGGUGAUUAUGUAUGAUUCUCGUCAGUCCAAGCCUCAUGAUAAGAAUUACCCUACCCAUCACUUAGAGUUAUGCGUUGUUGCAUUUGCUUUGAAGUUAUGGAGGCACUAUUUCUAUGGAUUCCAUUGCGAGAUCUAUUGAGGAUCACCACAGUCUUUAGUAUUUCUUCACCCAGUGAGAUUUUAAUAUGAGGCAGCAUCACUGGCUUGAGUUUCUUAAGGAUUAUGAUCUUACUAUUCUCUAUCAUCCGGACUAGGCUAAUCUGGUUAUGGUGCCUUGAGCCAGAAGUUGACUAGAAUGGGUAGCUUGGUGUAUCAUUUGACCUAGGAAAGGACAUUGGCCUUAGAGGUUCAAUCUUUGUCUAACCAUAUGGUUAGGGUUGAUAUUUUGACACAUUGGUGCAUUUUGGAAUUUAUGGAGGCUCAAUUUUCUUAGAUGGGGUAGAUUUGGGCUCAUUAAUUUGAUGAUGGUGAGUUAAGAGUGAUUCGAGAUAAGGUGUUAAGUGGCGAGUCUAAGAAAGCCUCACUUAACUUUGAUGGUAUAUUGAGGAUUGGAGGCUGAGUUUGCCUGGCGAGAGUGUGUGAUUGGGUGAGAUUGAUCUUAGAGGAGGCUCAUUGUUCUUGGUAUUCCAUUCAUCUGAGGGUGUCUAAGAUGUAUCAUAAUUUGAGGCAAUACUACUGGUGGGGUUAAGAUGUAGCAGAUUUUAUAGCUCGUUACCUAUGUUGUCAGCAGGUGAAGUUCAAGCAUUUGAGGCCUGGUGGUUUUCUUCAGAGGUCACCAUUCUCGAGUGGAAGUGGGAACAUAUCACUAUACACUUUAUGAUUAGGUUGCCUUAUGCCUUUCAUGGUUCUGACAGCAUUUGGGUUAUCGUUUAGCGAUUGACCAAAUCUGCUCAUUUCAUUCAUACUUAGGUGUCCUUUAGUGCUGACAGGUUGGUCCAUAUCUAUGCUUGAGAGAUAGUUCGUCUCCAUGGUACACCAGUGUCUAUUAUCUCUGAAAUAGGUUCAACUUUCACUUUUUACUUUUGGAAGGCAUUUUAGGAUGAAUUGGGUACUCGGGUUGAUCGUAGAAUAGAUUUUUACCCCUAGACCAGUGGUCAUCAAAAUGGACUAUUUAUGUUUAGGAGGAUAUGCUCUGCGCAUGUGUUAUGGACUUUUGAGGUCAAUGAGAGUAACAUUUAGCCUUGGCAGAGUUUGUGUAAUAGCAGCUACCAUUCCAGUGUUGAGAUGGCACCUUUUGAGGCAUAUAUAGUAGGUAUUGUCAAUCUUUGAUUAGUUGGUUUGAGACUUCUUAGGUUAGACAUCGAGGUACAAACUUUCUUCGUGAGUCUUUAGAUAAAGUUUAGGUCAUUCAAGAUAGACUUUGAGCGGCUCAGAGUAGACAUACGUGCUAUGCAAAUCAUAGACUUCACGCCUUGAGAUUAAGUAUUGAUGAUCGAUUUUUCCUUUAUUAAUCGCCCAUGAAAGGCGUGAUGAGAUUUGUGAAAAGGGGAAAGCUUAGCUCUAGGUAUAUCGAGCCAUUUGAGAUUCCUUGAACUAUUGGGGAUGUAGCUUACGAGUUAGAUAUACCCCUAAAUUUUUUAGUCAUUCAUUUAGUUUUUAAGUAUCCAUGCUACGAUGUUAAUUUUGGAUGAGUCUCAUGUUAUUCAUUGGGACACAGUGCAGUUAGAUGAGAGGUUGUCCUUUGUCGAGGAGCCAGUUUCAAUUUUAGCUCAGGAUGUUAAGCGGUUACAAUCUAGAGAUAUUCCGGUGCUUAAGGUAUAGUAGAUACACUAUUCUAUAGAUGAGGCUACUUGGAAGGUCGUGUAUGACAUGCAUAGUAGUUAUCCCUAGAUUUUUGCUGAUUCAGGUAUUUCCCUUGCCUUUAGUUUGAGAAUGAACUAGAUUCAUAGCGGUGGAUAUUAUAAGGAUUUGAUUUUAUGAACCUUUUUAAUAUGUUUUGACCAUUUUGCCCCUCCCUAAGGUUGCUAUGCAUUAUUUCUGGGUUGUUGUGAUGAUUGCAUGGUUCCUGAUAUGAUCUAGAAUAAUUUGUGCGAGUUUGUGGUUUUAAGAGAUCAAAAAGGCCUUAUAGUUGACUUUGGUCAACAUUUAUUGUUCUGGGUGUUGAAUGGCAAAAUUGACUAUGCUAGAAGAUCUUGAUUAUCUAAUUUGGGUUGUAGCUAGGUUGGCUUGCUUUUAUGGAUUUUGGAUAUUAUUUUGACACUUAGUUUAAAAAUUUGUGAACUUGGGCCUCGGGGGUCAAUUUUGUGAAAAGUUUUUUCAAAAAUCUGAUGUCACCAAUGAGUUUUGAACAUCAAAUUUAGUUUAGUAGCAUAUUUUGUUUAUCUUCAUGGUAUUUCAAAUGAAUACUGAGGGGACGAUCCGCAACAUUACAACUUAGUAAAGUUGUUGAUGCAGCUAUAUGUUAUGUGGCCGCCAAAGGACCGCUAAAGUGGUAGACGCCUUAGUUGCCCAGGUGUUGCUUUAGCAGACCCAGCCAGUCCAAGUGACUACCGCUAAAGAGAACGCUUGACCACUUUAGAAACCACCGCUUUAGUGGUGGGGGACCAUUUUAGAGACCUUUUUUUGGCUGGACCUUUUAAGCGGUCAUUUAACCACGUUAACGGUCAUAACAAGGAGAGUAUAAAAGUUUUUUUCCUAAUUUUUCUUUUAAUUUUGAGACUUUGAGCUUCGGUUUAAGAGAAUUUUAGAUCAUUUCUUCCAUACUGGAGCUUGGGUAAGCUCCAAAUCGCUAUUUCAAUUAUUUUGCUUCGAUUUUUAUUGUCUAAAACUCAUUAAAUUGUGAUUUCAAAAGUGGAAUUUGGGAAUUCUGGCUCGGAAAGACUAAAAUGGUUUUUCUUCAAUUUAAACCCCUUUUUAAACUCAUUUUCACUUGGGUUUUUUCCUAUGGCUUUAUUUAAUCAUGGGUAAGGUUUCCAUAAACAAAAAUUUUGGUUUUACCCUUUCUUUUCCAAAACCCAAUUCGAGGUUCCAUUUUGACACUGACUCAAAAAUAGACAAUAUGGGUAUCGUUGACUUUCUUUUGACGCAUCUAUUCUAUAUUUGUAUGUUUUAGUUGAUUUAAGUCCAUGAUGUGUGAGCAGAUGCUAACACAUUUGAGGCUUUUAACUGAGAAUAAUUACAAAGUAUAAAGCAACUUUUGUCAUUUUUAAUCGUUCUAUCUUUGAUUUUGCAGUAGAAGCCAAGAUGCAAGAGAACCAACAAGAAUGGAAGAAAAAGAGUUGAAAUCUGAAGCAAAUAGAAGAGAAGUGUGGCUAACAACAUUCCUGAUAAGUCGUCAGCACUCUAAUAAGUUAUCAGCUUUAUCGUCAGCCUUAGACAGAGAUAAGUUUUUGGCUGGAGUUCGUGAUGAUAUUCCUGAUAAGUCUUCAGCCCUAUGAUAAGUUAUUAGAGACACCGUCAACCUUAAACAAAGAAAGGACCUCAGCUGAAAGUUGUGAUGACAUUUCCCGAUAAGCCAUCAAAGAGUUGAUAAGUCGUCAGGUUUUAUCGUUAACCUUAAGCAAGAAGUGCUAAAAUUAAAGAAGGAGCUGACGACAUUUGUGAUAAGUCGUCAUACUCCUGAUAAGGUGUCACGAAUGUCGUCACUUAAUUCGAGAAAUUGCUGAACUCUGCGAUUUUAUUUCCAUAAUUAGGGUGAACUAUUUAAAGCAUAGUUUAGGGUUUUCUAAAGAUUUCCAAACCUGUUUUGGGACACACGUAUUUUGUUAUCUUUCUCUCUAGUUUCUUAGCUUGAAAUACUAUGAACUUUGGAGAGAUUUUCAUCAAUAUUUUGGGAUUUCUAUUGUGAUCUAAUCUAAGAAUCACUAGUUACUAAUCAUCGUAUGGUAAGUUCAUUUUUUAAAUUAUGAAUAUAUCUGGUUGUUUCACUUAUUACAUUAUGAGUGGCUAAAUCUCUUUAACCCGAAUUAUGGGAUCUAUGGGUUAAGCCUUGGUAAGAUGCUAUGUGUUUAAGAUUCUAAAAGUAAUAGGAAUCCUGGAUAAUUCUGAGAUUUUAAUUAUCGUCUAUUGGUUGCAAAUGAUAGAUAGCACCUGCUUUGAUUUGCUUGAGAUAAGAUAUCAAAUAUAGUAGGAAGUGAAUUAUUGACAGGGACUUAGAAACACUAAACUUCCAUUCAAUAAUUGACGUUGUAACAAGGUUGAUUAACCUGAGGUGAAGUCUAGUUAGUAAAUAUAAAUUUCCUAAGUCCGAGAGGAUUAGGUAAUCAAAUGCUUAAGUAGGUCGAGAGACAGUUAGGCAUAACUUCGAUAAAGAUAAUCUUUUGUCCUACCUACUAUAAGAAUCUUGAAUCACUGUUAGCAUCUGUCAAGUACUAAAAACCUUAGUGAACAUAAUUUUGGUUUUCCACAAACUCUUGAUUACAAACACUAAAACUAAAGUGACCAACAUUUAUUGGCUAAUCUCCAAAACCACCAUUUCAGGAAACAUCCAACUAACAGUUGAUUAAAUCGCAAACAACUUAAGUUCACACCAUAUUUCCUGUGGGAUUCGAUCCCAACCUAGUUGGGUUAUAUAUUGACAACGAUCUCUUACAUUCUCAUUAGAGAUGUGUAGUUUAAGCGUUAUCAAAAAUGGCGCCAUUACCGAGGAAUACGAUUGUAAAUUAAAGUUUGUGUGUGCUUAUUGACUGUUAGUCAAGUUUCCUAGUUUUAUGUUUAUUUGUUGUUUUUGUUUAUUGCAGGAUCUUUGUAGUUUAUGCCAAGAACUAGAAGUUCUGGAGAAUUAUUAUUACCAUUUUAUCCGAAAUCGUAAUGAAUUAAAAGAAUGGCAGACCAACAGGAGGCUGACAGGUUAGCAGCCUUAGCUAAAGCUCAGGUGAAUUUGCAGAAUGUUGGUCAACAAGUAUGAUAUCCAAAUCCUGAGGAUGAAGAUUUGGGAGACGAGGAGUUGUGAAACCCUGGUAACCCAAGGCGUGCACAGAAAGUAGUUGCCCCAGUACAGUGUAAUACUAAUAGGAACCAUCUGUUCUGAGGUAGGCAAAAUUACCAACUAGUCCAGUAUGACCUCAAUGAUGAUGAUGAUGGAAUGGAUGGAUCAGGUGCAACGGGUGCAAUUAUUCCUCCACCAUUGGCACCUGGGCCAAAAUUCAACAUUACGAGUACUAUGAUUCAACUCCUCAAUCUGAAGGGGUUGUUUGGUGGCCUUCCUGGGGAUGACCCCAACUGUAUCUGGUGAACUUUGUCACCAUCUGUAAAUCUUUUGAUAACCCAGCAGUGGGUCAAAAUGCUAUUUGAUUGAGAUUGUUUUUGUUGUCUCUGUCUGGGAAGGCAACAUUGUGGCUUAAUGAGAUGAUACUUGAUUCUAUAACCAACUGGAGGCAGUUGAAAGGAGCUUUCCUAGAAAGGUUCUUUCCGCCUUCCAGGAGGGCACAUUUGAGGGAUGAGAUUAGCAACUUUAGGCAGCUCCCAACUAAAGCCUUGCAUGAAACCUAGGAGAAAUUCAAAAAGAAGCUAACAUAGUGUCCGAACUACAAUAUGAUGGACAUAUACUUGAUGGAGACUUUGUACAGGGCUCUUAAAUCUAUGACAAAACCAAUUGUAGAUAAUGCUGUUGGUGGUUUGCUUGUUGAUCUUACAUUCCCAGAGGCUUCAGAAAUGCUAGAGAGAAUGACCAAACAAAUUAGGGCAUGGCAUACCAGAGAUGAAGAGUGUGACCAAGACAUGGCUCACCUAAAACGCAGAUAGACUUGCUAACCAAGCCUUUUUAUCAGGAAAGACUGAGAAAGUGAAAGCUAUGGGAUCACAAGAUAGAGUUGAUGAUGAUUCAGAAGAAAAAGUAAACUAUGUUAAUAAUCAGGGGGGUUUCCGAGGCAAUAGCCAAGGGAAUCAAGGUCGAAAUUAUUAUGAUAAGCCUGGUUAUAAAGAUAUAGAGCAGGGAAAUUAGAGAAAAAAUAAUUAUAGGAGCAGGCAAUAUGUCUCUCCUGGGAAUCGUGAGGCUGCUGCAACAAGUGCUGAAAAGAUUACCAUGGAGGACAUGAUGGCUAAGUUGCUGAAGGGAGUGGAGGCUACCAACUCUGGUGUGACUACCAUGAAGACCGAUCGGUCAUCUAUUAGUCAAUUGGUAAACUCACACUCCCUCGCAAUCAAAUAGUUAGAGCAGCAGAUGAGCCAACUCUCUGCAGCAUUUAACUAGAGAAUGAAUGGAAUGUUACCAAGUGAUACGAUCUAGAAUCCGUAAAAUAAUGGCUCAUGUAUGGCGAUUACCACUAGAAGUGGUAAGAUAUUACCUGGCCCUUUUGUGGGUAAAAUUUUGGUUGAAAAUGUGACUGAGGUAGAGAAUGAACCCAAAGAAGAAUGUCCAGUGGAGUCUGAGAAGCUGGAUGGUUCUGAUGAUGCUUUGGAAAACAAAAAAGAGAAGGAGAAGGAGGUAGUGUUGAAAACUCUCCCAGGACCACCACUUCCCUUUCCUCAAUGAUUGAAGAAAAAAAUUGAUGAUGCAAAAUUCAGCUAGUUGAUGGCAAUGCUCAGACAAUUGACAGUGAAUGUACCAUUGGUUGAGGCACUGAAACAAAUCCCAGGAUAUGCCAAAUUCAUGAAGAAUCUGGUAACAAAUAAGGAGGGAGCAAGCUAUGAACUGGCGGAUAAUCUCCACCAUUGUAGUUCCAUUUCUACACAAUCCUUAGUGGAGAAGAAGACUGACCCUGGAGCAUUCACUAUUCCAUGUGCAAUUGGUUCUCUAAAUUUUGAUAAGGCCCUAUGUGAUCUAGGGGCCAGUAUUAACCUAAUGCCACUCGCUGUGUAUAAGAAGUUGGGUGUGAGGGAUCCUACCCCGACGAACAUGCAAUUGGUAAUAACAGAUAGGUCUGUAAAGCAGCCGGUGGCUAUAUUACAUGAUGUAUUGGUAAAGGUGGUCGACUUUAUACUGCCUGCUGAUUUUGUAGUCCUAGACUGUGAGUGGGACUUUGAAGUGCCCAUCAUCCUGGGUAGACCAUUCCUUACAACUGGGAGAGUGAUAGUGGACAUGGAGCUAAAUGAGCUGUAGUUCAGGCUAAAUGACAAAAAAGCAAGAUUUACAAUACACUCAUCCAUGACACAGAAAAAGAAGAAAAGUGUUUUCUCAAUCGUGGAUGUAUUCUAUGAAGAUGGUAAAGCGGUACCAGCAGGUUGUCUUGGUGAAGUCUGAGUAGUCAAGAUAACUAAGUCGUACCGCGACAUUAAAUCAGGUGCUACAUGGGAGGAAACCCAUAAUCCCCGUGCUUGAUCUACUCUAGGUAUACCCUAACCCUUAGUUCAAUUUUUCUUUGAUUUUAAGUUGAGGAUGUAGGGUAAAUUGUUGUUGUAAAAUUUUGUAACUGACUAGGAGAAAUACAAGUAACUAAGGCAGUUAACUUGUUUUUGUGAUUUUUGAGCACCUCUCCAAUGGUCUGAAGGUUUAAAUGUGUGAUUUGAAGCUAAGUGUGACCACUGUGCAUCGUUGUAUGGCAUUAGUUCUAGUGAUGUAACAAUCAUUGUUAAAUAGCUGCAUAAACAGAAUGAGUAGUAACUUGUGAUAUACUUGUGUGCCAUGUGCAUGCGAGAUCUGACUUAAUCCCCUCUAUAUGUUGAAUCCAUAACUUUCCCGGUUAUUCUUACCUGAGUUGGAGGAUAGGGGUUAAGAAAAGAUCAUAGGCUGUUUUGAUAUUAGCCCACUUUUAGCCUAAAUGACAUUCCCUGUAUGUAGAAUAUCCAUUGAUCCCUACUUUGAGCCUGAUUAUCCUAUUUCUUUUUAUGACACCUAUCACCUUCCUAUUUAUAUCACAAUGAACCUGUUUUGGCCCUGGUCUUCCUUGGACACUGUGCACCUUGAUGUAGGCAAAUGGCCUAAGUUGAGGGUGGUUUUCAUAGGGGUGCGUGAUGUCAAAUAAGUAUGAAGAUAGGUAGAACAAAAGAAAAGAAUAAAAAGUUGGGUGCAGUGGAAAAGAACAAGACAAGAAAAGUUGUGAAAAAAAAAUAAUUGUAGGAAAGAUAGAACCCAUACUGAGUAAGUGUGAUCAAGAAAAGAGACGAAUAGAAAAAGGUUAAUAAGUGAAUCCCAGGAACUAGUGUAGUGUCAAAGAGGCUUAGUCACUUUAAAUAUCAUCAAGUAUCAUACCAGCCCUAGCCUGCAUUACAAGCCAAAGAGAAGACCUAUAGUGAUCUUAGCUGACCUUUCUGAAAACCUUAGUAAUGAAAAUAAAGGAAGGCCUAUGGUACUUGGCAUACACUAAUUGGAACUUCAUUCUGAGAGUGAGUGUCUUUUGAUUGUCCCCAUGGUUACAUAUAUGAUUGCUGAUAUGAGAAAAGGGGCAUUUCUUUGUUGUGAGGGCACACCAGAUAUGUUGCUAAAAGCUAACUUGUUCGGAUAGUGUAAUACUGGUCUAUUCAUAGUUGUUAUAGCUAAAUUACUGGUGUAUCUUGAUUUCUUUGUGUUUCAUUAUUGUUCUUCAAUAAUAUACACAGUUGUUCUUGAAUUGACUGACCUUAGAGAUGGUGAAGAUGUUUUGAGAUAAUAUGGAUGAUUGACUGGCGAAUGUACUUUGUAUCCUCUUGGUUAUGUUUGAGUUGCUUGAGGAUAAGAAAUUGUUUUAAGUUGAGGGUGUUGAUGUGUGAGAAGAUGCUAACACAUUUCAGGUUUUUAACUGAGGAUAAUUGCAAAGUCUUAAGAAACUUUUGUCGAUUUUAAUCGUUUUAUCUUUGAAUUUGCAGUAGAAGCCAAGAUGCAAGAGAACCAACAAGGAUGGAAGCAAAAGAGUUGAAAUCUGAAGCAAAUAGAAGAGAAGUAUGGAUGACGACAUUCCUGAUAAGUCAUUAACACUCUGAUAAGUUAUCAGCUUCAUCAUCAGCCUUAGACGGAGAUUGGUUUUCUGCUGGAGUUUGUGACGACAUUCCUGAUAAGUCGUCAGCCCUGUGAUAAGUUAUAAGAGACACCUUCAACCUUAGAUAGAGAAUGGACCUCAGCUAAAAGUUGUGACGACAUUUCCAAAUAAGUCAUCGAAGAAUUGAUAAGUCGUCAGGUUUCAUCGUCAACCUUAAGCAGGAAGUGCUAAAACUGAAGAAGGAGCUGACGACAUUUGUGAUAAGUUGUCAUACUCCUGAUAAGGUGUCACGAAUGUCGUAACUUAAUCUGAGAAAUCGCUGAACUCUGUAAUUUUGUUUCCAUAAUUAGAGUGAACUAUUUAAAGCAUAGUUUAGGGUUUUCUAAAGAGUUUGAAACCUCUUUUGGGACACACGUGUUUUGUUAUUUUUCUCUCUAGUUUCUUGGCUUGAAAAACAAUUAACUUUGAAGAGAUUUUCAUCAAUAUUUUGGGAUUUCUAUUGUGAUCUAAUCUGAGAAUCACUAGUUACUAUUCAUCUUGUGGUAAGUUCAUCUUUAAAAUUAUAAAUACAUCUAGUUUAUUCGCUUAUUACAUUAUGAGUGGCUAAAUCUCUUUAACCUGAAUUAUGGGAUCUAUGGAUUAAGUCUUGGUAAGAUGCUAUGUGUUUAAGAUUCUAAAGGUAAUAGGACUCCUUGAUAAUUCCAAGAUUUUAAUUAUUGUCUAUUGGUUACAAACGAUAGAUAGCACCUGCUUUGAUUUGCUUGAGAUAAGAAAUCAAUUAUAGUAGGAAGUGAAUUAUUGACAAGUACUUGGAAACACUAAACUUCCAUUUAAUAAUUGACAUUGUGACAAGGUUGAUUAACCUAAGGUGAAGUCUAGUUAGUAAAUAUAAAUUCCCUAUGUCCGAGAGGAUUAGGUAAUUAAAUGCUUAAGUAGGUCGAGAGACAUUUAGGCAUAACUUUGAUAAAGAUAAUUUGUUGUCCUACCUACUGUGAGAAUCUUGAAUCACUGUUAGCAUAUGUUAAGUACUAAAACCCAUAGUGAACAUAAUUCUGGUUUUCUAUAAACGCUUGAUUACAAACACUGAAACUAAAGUGACCAACAUUUAUUGGCUAAUCUCCAAAACCCCCAUUUCAAGAAACAUUCAACUAUCAGUUGAUUAAAUCAUAAACAACUUAAGUUCACACCGUAUUCUAUAUGGGAUUCGGCCCCAAACUAGUUGGGUUAUAUAUUGACAACGAUCGCUUACAUUCUCAUUAAAAAGGUGUAGUUUGAGCGUUAUCAGGCCAUUCGAGAGGGUAAUGCUCCAUGUUGAAGGUUUUCAGGUUUGGAUUGUGUCAUCACAUGGUAGGUUAUGGCUUAACUUUCUUUAUAUUGGUCUAAAUAGUUAAUAUAUAUGUAAAAGCAUACUAUGGGUAUGGAAAAUCAAUCAUGAAAAUAAUGUUAUUACUGUUGUGUGCCCGUGUGUGGACUUAAAUUGUUGUUGGUGGUAAUUUGAGAUAAUAUUUGUUACGUGUUACUCGUAUGGGGCCUUAUCUGAUAACAUUGUUAUCAUUAUGCAUUAGUUAUUUCCUUCAUGAUAGAAAUACCAAGUUGAGGGUUAAUAUAAUAUUAAUGCUGCCUUAUAUGUAUAUUUAUUAUUAUGGUACAUUGCUUAUACGAAAUCAUGGAUGGUUGAUAUAUUGAGUUAAUUUUGAGCUCACGUUAACAUAUAUUGAAUGAAUUUUGAGAUCUUCAUACUGGUUUGGUUGUGACCAUUACAUCCUCAUAUUUCAUGAGAUAUUAAAACCAUUGUGGAAACACAAAUUUUGAUAGUAAUGAGAUAUUUUUACAAAACCCUCUUUUGUAGCCCACGAGUUGGGGAAGAGAUAUAUAUAUAUAUUCAGAUUGGUAUUGAGUAUGAGAAAGUAUAUGGGUUACGAACCCCAUAUGGGUCCUACCUGGAAGCAUUGAGGCUCGGUAGGUGUAGACGGAGGUUAUUUGAUAACUUCAAUCACAUCACAUCAUCAUUAUCAUCACCAUUGCAUUUCAUACAUUAUGCAUCUUCAUUUUUGUUCUUUUGUGAUUAAUUCAAUGCAUAUCUACUUUGUUUUUUAUGUAUCUGUCUUUUUCUUUUUGCGCUAUAUUUAAAAUUGUUAGUGAAUGUGGUGUAAGCUAUCAUUUGGGACAUUUUUUUACUAUAGGUGACGUGCUCAUAGUAUGUGUUUAUCUAUCUUAUUUUCUACUUUGCUCAGUCGACCUAUAAUACCUACUGAGUACAAGUGCACCGUACUCAUCCCUACUAUGCCCUUUUAGUGAAGAUCUAGGUACGAGUGCGCUGUGUGGAAACUGUGAUCAUAUGGUUGAUCUUUGAUACUUUGAGUUAUUGGAAGCUCUACACCCUUAGAGUCGACCUUAGACCUCCUCUGAUACAGUUUGUGUCUUAUUUUGUAUUCAGAGACAAAUUCAUGGUUUACGAAUUUUUUGUUGUUCUAAAUUUUAAGUUUUAUUAAGAUUGUUCUUACAUCGUGACACUAGGUUUUUGGACAGUUGUUGGUUUCAUUAUUAUUCAAAAUUCUACUAUUUUCGUGUAUGUUUGGUAUGACUUUACUAGAGGAGUCUCAUUGUGGAGAUUGUAUAUGAUUUUACUCUUACUUAUCAGUUUGGGUGAUUGGAUUACCUGUCAAGUUAGCCACAAUAAGUGCCAUCAUGACCUUAGUUUUUGUGUCAUGACACUAUCCAUUCAUAAUGGGCCUUACUGACCUAUAGACGGAGUGAUUACUAAAUUAAUAAUAACUUUAUGGUGUUCCUUGAUCAAUUUGGCCCAGGGGUCUAGAGUAUCUGUAUAUGCCUUUGAGUUCUGGUUGUUUUUGUGGGUGAGGAGUUUUCUUUGACACACCUAUAUCAUUUAUUAUUCUCAUAUGGUUAUAGAUAGGAUAAUUCAGCUAUCUGGAUGCAAUAAUAGGUCAUUCUUAAGUAGUUUGGAUGAUUUCAGAGAUCGAGGUUAGGUCAAUGAUGUCACCCAAAUUACACCUCCAAGAAAAUAUGAAGCAGUCGCUUGUCAAAUAUAGAACCCAACUACGUUGGGGUCAAUCCCAUGAGGGAUAGGUAGGAAAUAUUUCAUGAGCUUACUGAUGGUAUUGGAAAUUGCAGAAAGUAAAAUGGGGGUUUGGUGAAAAUAAGGGUAACAAUAACAAUGAUGGGUAAUUAGGGUUGUUAUUAAUAUAAGACGAUCACUAGGAUUGUGUUCCGCUGACUUAAUAACUUCAUAGACUGUUCAUGCAUGUAAAAAUAUCUUGAUGUGUUGCAUGCAAAAUCUAAUAAGUUAUGUAUAACCUGAUCGUCUCUCAAACUUGGUUUGGGUGAAUUUCACUCCUCUACUUUCAGUAUUAGAAUGUCGCAUUGCUAGACCUUAUUUUAUGAUCUCAGAUUAACAAUCUUCUCUCAAUCUCAAGUUAAUUAGAUCAAGGUUAAUAGCUUCAAAUUACUAUUGUGAUCUCCGUUUCCUAAUAUCUACUUCUCUCUCGAGCAAGUACAGGAGAGUUCCUAAAGUUUGCAACCGUUAAGAAAGAAAUCAAAACAAAGAAAAUCCCAAUACAUGUAAGAACACCGAUCUAGAAUGACUUUCCACUUGGCCAGCUUCGUUAAUUCAUCAGGAUUCCCACAACCCUAUUUAUAAGGUUUAGCUACUCAUGAUUGUAAGAUAAGCAUAGUUUUAAUAGAUGAAGCUAUAAUGAUGAACUUACAUAGAUUAAGAAUGAAAACCCAAAAUCUCAAAUUAAUCGUAGAACCUAAAAACCAAGAACAAUAAUUCCAAGACCAAUAAUAUAUCUCAAAACUCAAAAUAAUUUUUAAAAGUGUAUAAAGUGUGUAAGCUGAUAAUAAAACAUCCAAAGGGUAUUUAUAGAUACAAAAGAAACCAUAUCCUAAAAAGUGUAGGAAACUAGAGUCGACAUCAACUCAUGAUUCGUGGGUUGAGUUGUAGGUACAACCCACGAAUCGUGUCUUGGAUCAUGGAAAUCAGAGUGAAAUCUUCAACUUGGUAGAAUCUCCUACCUAAAAGGCAACCUACCAGUUGUAGGUGGUACCUUCUCCUCGUAGGUAGGCUCGUGGGAAUCAGACUGUAUUUUCUAUCUUCAAAACUCAAACCAUGUGUCACCUUAUAGCUCAUAGGUACAACCCACAAGUCGUACGUUGACUCAUGGGUAGCCUUCGUAGCAACCCUUCACCCUUUUUUAUCAUUCUUUGCUACAAACUCUAUUUUCCUGCAAAAUCAACACAAGCACACAUCACAUACAACAAGAAUACCUAAGUACUUGCAUAAUUUCCUUAUUUUAUGACUCUAAAGUGCCAUGAAAUCAUGGAACAUCAAUUCCCUCAACUUAGAUCGUUUGCAUGUCCUUGGGAAACUAACACAAAACUUAACAAACACGAUGCUUAACUAAAAGAAGCCUAAGACACCUACAGCAGUCAACUCAUUUUAGCUCUCAAAUUCAUUGCCCCCUCCUAUUCAUAACUUUCAAAACCACUAUGUGGAUCCAUGUAGAAGAAUAGUAUGACGCAAAAAUAGUCAAGUGAUGACAUUAUAUUAGCAACAAACAACCACGCGUAUAUGCAAUUGACACUACCCAAACAAAUAAGUAGUUAACAAUAAAACUCAUGUACCCUAAUAGCAAGGAAUUCCCGACUCGAAUAGGAUCAUAAUGCAUGUCAAUGUAGGGACUACAUCAAACACUCACACUCUCAAAGAAGUUCAAACAAUAUACAUAGAAUACCAUAGGCUUGCCUUUGGUAUCUAUACCUUAGUUUUUCGAAUAGGCGGACUGGGAUCACUAUAGGAUGUUUCGAGGCUUGUAAUGUAGGCUCAGGGGUAGGUAUGGUACGUAUGAGACAUAGUGACUCACCGUCCUUGACACUACACUUACAUUAUUGGCUCCACUACUUAAUCAUGCUUCUUUUAUUCUCUCUUUUUCUCUUUUAUUACUAUUCAGAUUAGGUAUGGUUUCCUUCAUUCUUUGCAUUUAUAUUUUUUCUUUUUCUUUUAUUUUUCUCUUUCUUUGCUUUCACACUUUUCUACCACACCCAACCCUACUUUCUUUUCUUUUAUUCAACAUCUUCUUUAUACCCAUCUUCAACUAUGCACCCCUACAAUAGCAACCCUCAACUUAGGUGAUUUGCCUGAGUUGAGGUACAUAGUGUCUAAGGCGGGACAAAGGCCAACACAUGUUCAUUAUAAUGAAAUAAGAAGGUGAAAAGUUUAAAACAAGAAAUAGGUCAAUUUAGACUCAAAUCAGGUAUCAGUAUCUAUAUUUAGUCGGUAUUUUAAGCUACGAGUGAACUUAUUCAAACAUGGCCAAUGAUGAUGUCCCAACUAAAUAUCCUACAGCCUAGGCAAGACUAACUGGGCAAGUUCUAGAUUAAAUACACAAAGUAAACUAGGUAAAUGUCUCACAUACAUGAUAUAGGGUUACAUUAUCAACUACUACCUAACUGGUUCAUGCAAUACUAAGAUAUGGUUAUUUUGUCCCUAAUAUUAAUGCCAUAAUAAGAUUCAACAAUAGUCACACAUAUAUUCACAACACACAGUUAACAAAAAUUUUAGGAGGGGUAUCAUUAAACACAUAAAAACACAAGACAUUUUGACUGCACUUUUCUUUCUUAUUUUUCUUCUAAUUGAACAAAACAACACAUAAAACAAACCAUGAACAUAUCAUAAUAACCUAGACAUGUUAGUUCUACUAUGAUAACAAACUCUUGAGAAAAGAGACACGACAAUGAAAACCCCAAGAGGACAUCUAGACCCGCAAUUAUCCCUACCCCCAUCGCAUAAUCAUGCAUUAUCUCUAAUGUAUUAGGCAGCAGCAAAGCAAGAGGGUUAGUAACAUACUGGUGGAACCUUAGGUGUAUAGAUCUAAUGUCAAUCACAAUAACACAAAUUUUUAGAAAUAACAAAACACCUUGGGUUGCCUUGCAAGCAAUGCUUAAUUUAAUGUUGCGGCACAACGUGAGGACCUUGAUUACUCAGACUUCAUCAAGGUAGUUAUAAGGUUAGCUUCUAAGAUCAUUUAAAUUGUUUAUUACUGAAACCACCCUCAUAUCUGUUGGGUGCUUUAAAUUUCUAUGAACAUUGAAUGUGACUUACUGAUUAUUCAACUUAAACUUACGCUUACCUCUUUCCAUAUCCACCAAUGCUCUCUCCCUAUCUAAAAUUUUCUUUCCAAAACUAUGGGCAUCUCAAAAUCAACGUCACAAUCCAAGUCAGCAAUGUCAGUCAGAGAGAUGAAGUUGUCCACCUUAACCAAAACAUUAAAUGAUAUGCCCACAAAUUUCUUAACAGUACGGUCUACUACUAAUAACCACAUCUUCAUGGGUUCGGUAGGUCUCAAGCCUAAUUUUUUGAACACUGCCAGCGACAUCAAGUUAAUUCUUGCACCCAAGUCACACAAAUCCCUGAAAAAUAUAGAUUAUCCAAUCAUACAAGAAAUUGUGAAGGAGCCAGGGUCACUUUUCUUUUGUACAAAAGAUCGAGAUGUAACCACACUAUAAUGAUAAAAAACCACCAACAUCCUCAUAACUAACAAUUCUCUUCUUUUUCACCAAAUCCUUCAUAAAUUUUGCAUAACUAGGCACCUAUUCUAGUGCUUCAAGAUGAAGGAUAUUCAUAUUCAACUCCUUCAGCAUAGAAAUAAACUUCUUAUACUAUUCUUCGCUAGCUUUCUACUUCAAUCACUGGGGAAAUGGUUAAGAAGGUUGGAGAAUAUGCUUCAGUGGUGGUGUGACCUCCUUACCCUUAUUUUAUCAUUGUCAACUCUUUUCUCUACAAUGGUAUGCUUCUAACAUCUCACUGUUUAUCGCUAACUUUUCAAUUUCAUUUUUAUCUGUAUCAUCAAUGUCCAUUAGGUCAUUCCUCACACAAUCAACCACAGAUGUAUGGAUCAAUAAUGGGCUUAACCAUCCUAGUAGUUAUAUCUAAACAAUGAAUAUCAUUCUUAAAAUUCUUAAUUAUGUUGCUAGGAAAAGUUCCUAGUUGACGCUGAAUCAAAGUAACAUACAUCUUCCUAAACAACUGCUCAAGAUGCUAAAUCGCAGUUCUCAACCCUGAUAUGUUUGCCUUAAUCUCCUUUAGGAAAUUAUCUUGGCUCUCUGAACCAUUCAUAAGAUUAGCAAGCAAUGGUUCCAUUUUCAAAAUUUUAGACUCAAGAUCACGAUUCCUUAGUGGAACAUAAAGACUAUUCUUUUUCUUGUAAUCAUUCUUUCUCCUCCAAUCACUAUCACGUUAUCUACUCUUAUCCCUAUGCCUAUCUCCGUAGUAGUUCCAACCUUGAUUCCCUUGCCUUGAGUUCUAAGUGUCUUGGUUAGACCCUUGGCCCUUGUCUUAGAAACCAAUCAUCUCUCUGUCCAAGUGCUUUGCUUCUUCUUCAGAAUCACUCUUCCUAUCUAGAUGCCUUACCUCGAAAACCUAUUACAUUUAUCUUUUCUGCUCCCAUAGCUAUACUUACUUAGUAGCAAACCAAUCUUAGUCCUUAGCUCUACUACCUCUUGUUACACUGACUCAUCUAAGGCCCUUUCUUUACUAGAAGCACCAAUAGCAUAAGUAUCGGCUAACCUGUCUGCCUCCUGAGUUUACCACUGUAAUGCCCUGAGUCUGUACCCCGAAUGCUAUAUGAUGCUCGUAAUCCGAAAGGACCAUAAGCUAAACUAUGACUGGUACCUGUUGUAAUAACUGAAUAACAAUAAUACUGAAAUAUGCAUAAAUUUGGCAGAAAACAUGUCAUAAGGUUCAAUACUAUAAAUAAUACUAAAUAUGGUAUCACAAUACCAAAAACUAAACAUCAAUACUGAAAACUGAUCAACUGUCUGAAAAUACUCUAGUCUGAAAACCCUCUAAACUAUCUGAACUGUGGAGUUGAUGAGACAGGUCCCCAACUAACUCCGACAACUGAAAAUGAACUGAAAUGCUGAAUUUCCAUCGACAUAAUGUUUAUGUAACAAUGUGUUGUCAAGUUGUUAAGAGAGGGUGUCAAAAGUGUGGUGAAUAUGUCAAGGAACUAUGCUCACGAAUUACACUGUGAAGGUGUAAUAAACUAAUGAGAAUAUAACAAAAAAUUAAAAAUGCAUCAACAUGCUAAGGAACACAAUGAUGUACUUAAUCUAAUGUUUAACAUAAUAAAAAUGCUCAAAAACAAACAUUUUCACACACUAGCAAUCAUGCUAAUAGUGCGGAAAUUUAAUAUUAAUAUACUAGGAAAUGCUAAAAAUAUCUAAAAUCUAAUAUUUAACAGGCUGAAAUUAAUGAUUUUAUGCAGAAACGCAGUUUAGACAUGAUGAAAUUUAAUUGUUUUAUGCGGAAAUACUUUUUUAACAUGCCAAAAUUUAAUAUUAGCACACUGAAAAAUGCAUUAACGUUAUUGUUUUUGACAUGCUGAAAAAUAUGUUAAUGCGCAGGAAUUUUUAUGUUAAUCAUGCUACAAUUUUAACAUGGACAUGCUUAAUUCUAAUGUUCAAUAUGCUACAAACAUAUUAAUAUGCAGAAAUUUAAUUGUUGACAUGCUCAAAAAUACUAACAUGUAAUAAGUAGUUUUAAUAUGCUGAAAUUUAGUUUAACAUGCCUAGAUUCAUUUUAAUGUGUAGAAAUUUAAUACUAUAGUGAUCUAAUAAUACUGAAAUACGUGUGAAUGUGCAAAGACAUGCUCUAAUUAUGCGGAAAUUUGUUUUAAUGUGCUGAAACAUAUUAACACGUCAAAAUCUAUUUUAAUAUGCAUACAACAUUUAAAUCCUAAAAGCAUGAUUUCUAAUCGGAUUAAUAAGUAGAUUAAUUGUCUAAGCGGUUCAUAUGUUAAUAAAUCCUAGGUUUGUGUGCCUAAAUAAUCCACAUAGCAUGUAACACACGUAAAACCUAAUUUGUGUCUAUCUAUACUAUUCAUAGAGCACGUAAAUCCCCUCCCCAAAAACAGUCCCCAAUAUUUAUUAUUACAUCAAUAGUAAUGUUUGUACAACAAUAUUACAAACCAAAUAAUAAGAAAAUAAAACUAAUACAAUCUAUUGUAAACACCCCGGCGACUCUUGCGAUUUCCAAAACAUCACUUAAUAAUACCUGUUUGAUACAAAUCGAAAGAGCACGAAAAGCACAAAAGAAACAACACAUGAUCCUAAACCACACAUUGUUUCAAACAGAGGAACCAAAGAAGAGACAUGCAUAUUAAGCAAGCAUUGUUUCAAAUUAGUGCCUAUAGACAUACUUACUAACACACUAAAUCAUUCAAUGGACAAAUAAAUAAGUAAUUAUAUCGUUUAGAUACUUACUGAUGAGCAGCGAUAAAAGAAAUAAUAAGAAUAAUAAAGCCAAUCCUUUGUAAGAGUAAUAUGCAGGAUGCUUCCUUAAGGUCCAAAAAAAAUACAAGAGGGUUUAAAGAUAUUUCUCCUCGUGUUUAAAAAAGCGAAUAGCUCUUUUGUUUUUAGAGAGUAGUGAUUGUAACUGAAGAGAUGUCCGAAGAAGAGAAGAGGGGGUCCCUUUUUAUAGUAAAGGAAUUGUGAGAGGAAAAUAAAGAGAAAAUAUUCAGCAAAUCAAUGUAGAAGUUAUUUCCCCGAAAUCAAUGGGCAGAAUCAAAAUAGCUUUGCAAAUUAUGUCAAAAUUACCAAAAAUAAGCUUGAUGAAAAAAGUUGUCCAAGUAAAGGAAAAAGGCAAGACAAUCAGUCAAGAAAAUAAAAAAAAGGUAAAGAAAUAUUCAAAAUAAUCAAUCAACCACAUUAAAUGAGAAGAAAAUUAUCAUAAUAACUACUACUGCAAGGCUCAAUAUACGUAAAAAGGAAAGCAAAAUCACAUAUUAUUAAAUUGGAAUCUGUCAAGGGAUGCAUUUCCUUAAAAUUGAUCACGAGUGUAAAUUAUGUCAAUGUAUUCCAAAAAUAAAUAAUUAGGAAAAUCAGUAAAUAAAGCACUGGAUCAGUGGGAAAUUACAUGAAGAAUGAUGUCACUAAGCAACCACAAUUAAUUGUAGAUGAGCGAGAUAGAGUCUAUGACAAGAUCAGUCUCGUCUAAUAAGAGAGAAACAAACACAUGCAAUAGCUAGCUACCUUAUGGUCACGGGAACAACUAAAAUCACUGUAAUGACACAACAAAAAAUAAUGGAUAAUAGAACGGUGUCCAAAUAAUCACGCAAGAAAAUGUAACAGUAAUAAAAUAAACUUGCACACCAAACCUAACUAACAAAUUAAUUUCAAUUAAAGCAAAAAGUUUCAAAAAAUAAAGCUAACAGUGAUCGAUAUUGUGCAGAAAAGGUUAUUCCUGCCAGAUCUGAAACGAAAACGGGAGGGGUGCCUAGUGGAGGCUCUCUGGUUGACUGGCUGGUUGGCUAGUUUUCCGCUGGCCAGAAAAUGAUGGAGCAACGAGGGGAUAUGGCUGGCGGCGGAGGCGUUCGCCGUUGUGGCAGCGGCUGUGGAGAAGGAUUCUCCGGCUAAAUGGUGAAUCGAUGGCCAGAGUUGAAAGGGGAGUUUACGCCGGCUAUUUCAGCCUGUGGGUGGACCACUCGUGGCUGGGUUUGGUUCGCCGUUGGUUGGAUGGAGAAAGAGGAGGUGGACUGGUGGUGCUCCGACCAUCAGGUGGCCAGAGAGGGAGACUGGAGCAGCAGCAGCAGUGGGGUUUUGGGCGCUGAUGACGGAGAGAGAGGGGAAAGGGGCUCGUCAGCGGUGGGAUAGCCGGCGGAGUCCAUAGUUGUAGCUUUGGUUAUUGUUGGAUAGUGAUAGAGGGAAGAAGAGAGGAAGGAAAGGGGGAGGCGAAUGGUGAAAGAAAAAAUGAUGGAUUAGGGUUUAUGUUUCCUUUGAAAGGAAAGGAUAGAGUAGGGUGAUCUCAGCCAUUGGAUCAAAAGAAUUGGGACCCUUUAAAUGUGGCUAGAAUUGUAAUAACUUGUGUAAAGUUAGGCUAAGAUUGUUAUAAAUUAGAUGUAAAAGGUUAGAGUUUAAAUAAAUUAAAUUAAGUCAGGC